UUUAAAUUUAUAUUUAUCUUUAGCUUAUACUCGAAAUAAGUUUAUUUCUCGGAGACGAGUGGGGAUAAUAAAAACGCACAUCAUAAAUACGGCUACUCAUACCGAAUACAUUUAAAAUAUUAUUGCUCAUAGAAGUCGUCGUGCAAUGUCGGGAACAUAAAAAAUCGUGAUCAGUCACUGCAAUGUCGAGUUGUUGGAUUUUUUGGAUCUAGUAUGAACUAUACCUAUGAAGACUAGUUCUGAUGAACUAUUUAUGCUUCAUGAUCGCAGCCAAUGUGCAGACCAACAAAGAGCUGCGUCGUGCAGCAAUUGGGAAUUAACUACCAAGCUGAAGCUGUUUAUUUUCAUCGAUAAGAUUCUUCGAAAUAUGGCAGAGGGGAAUUGUAGGCCUACCUUUUCAUCAGCAUGACUCCUUUACUUUUGUAUAACGCAAAUAGAUGGUAUCGACUAGUUAUCCAUCUAUCACUACUCAAGAGAACUAAAUUGACCAGAUCGUCUAUCAUCAGGUUUGCAUGAGCAAUUCCAACGAUCGUGAAAUCCAUGUGGUGAACGCUGAUUAUAAAAAAAGGUCAUCGUAGACUACAUUCCAGAAAGUUUAGAAGAGGAUAUCUAAGAUAUACUAUAAGCGAGUGGUGUCGAUAUCACUCAUGAGUUUUUCCACAUCCAAAGGGUAGAGGUGAAGAUCUUAAUGAGUAAAUUGUGGUGAGGGAUAUUUUACUGAGUUCCUCGUCCAACACUGAUGUUUUAAGGCAUUCCACAGUUACUAACACACAUUGAUUCUUGUGGCGAAUGGUGUUCACCAUUACUCUGGUAGAAAUGCCUAUAACGGAACAAACAGCGAAUUAUGUGAAAAUACCUUUUCUAACCGAGCUGAUUAGUGGUUCUUCAGUGGUGUCCAUUAGCGUCAAAACGAACCUUGAACCUCUGGACAAGAAACCUCUCCAAUAGCUUUCUCGAGAAUCAAGCGGGAGUCCAUAGACUUCAUCUUGUGAAGAAGGUUCAGUUUGGCCCUUCCCUAGCAGUAGCAGUAGCAGAGUUGAAACAAGUGUCAAACACCCGAAAAACGAUCCACUGGUGAACCUGGACGACUCUUAAAAACUUUAUUUAGAAUGCCAAAAGGGCCACUGGUUUUUCCGGUCAGGAAUCGCUUUGAAGACUUCCUUAUUUCAUGGAUAGUGAAUUCCGGGAUGGACUUUGUAAACGGCAGUCCUGGUCGUUGCUCCUGGAUUCAAGUCGUCGAAGAUGUUGUAGUCAACCAGGAAGCGUGCAUCAUCCUAUUUUUUAGAUGGGGUCACAGCUAUCCAUGGUGGAUAGCUAUGAAACCUUACUUUCUUUGAACGUAGUCCUAAGACUUUACAAUCAUUAUUGACCUAAAUAUACAAUUCUUUUCAUACUCAUUUUAUUUCUUCACAUUGAUUCUCAUCGGUGCUUUUGUAGCCGUAGAAUAAUCUGUGUACUUAAGUCAACUAAGAUAAAUGGAAUGCUUAGUAAUUUUAAUCGUUUUUUAAAUCCUAAGGUCAUGUCCCAAGUUGUGGUCGAAAUUAUUACGUCUUGGGGUCUCAGCUUUCCGUGAUAUUAUCAACGAUAGAAAGUUACGCAGAGGCUUUUAACUAAACAACUUUAUUUAAUGAAAAAAUAGAUUUACUGGUUUAACUAUUGUGCAUUAAAUAUCGAAAUUGAUAUACAAACACAAGCGAGUAUUAACGUUAGACUAAAUAACGCUUUCCGUGUUUAAGCUUCUGGAACACAUAGUAAUCGGUCUUUUUUGGUCAUAAUAUCCCGUUCAUAGUUCGAUAUAUGAAGGUCAAGUAAGUGUAAUCACUAGUCACCCAAGAUUUCAUCUAACAUGUUAUAGUCAACCAAUGUAUCUACACUCUCGUGCCACAGAGUAACUGUCACCGCUUCUAUUCAUUUGUUGGCGCUGAAGUAAGAAAACUCUCUCCCGGUAAAACUCUCUCAGUAUCUUGGCUAUUCAAUAUAUCAGAGCGUUUAAUUCCACUGGAAUGAUGAACUGAGUUUAACGCGCGGGCCAUGUAUCAUAUAGUUGCCUGAAGUUAGGUUUGUGGUAAAUAUCCGUUCGUGUACAUCCAUUCGUCAAUGUCUCGUGAUUCGGUCAAACCGUAGAUAAACAUCGACGUUAUUUUAGUUCAAUACUGGUUUAAAACCGUUUAAAUAACACCGAAAAGAGCAUUUAUUAUAAAUACACGUACCUACUAAAGUGUCGUCGGUUGUAUCAUCGGAUUGUCGUGCGUACUUAUUGACAACAAACAUAUAUGACUCACUGUUCAUUGAGUAAGUGUUCUCCUUAUUCAGUGAGUGAGUAGUUAGCUCCUAAAAGGGUACCUUACAAUAUUUUUGACAACCAUCCCGUUCAUCUAAAUUUUAAAUAUUUGUACCUAACUACUAAAUUACUUGUUCGGAAUUUGAGUUAAUAUAUCGAAGAAAAAACUAAUUAAAUCAAUUUAUAAUUCCAAUGGACUGGAACGCUGUGGUGUAUUGAAACGCCAAUAUACUGGGCGACUUGUACCGGAAGUGACUUUUCGUACUUCAGCACCAACAAAUGGAAAGAAGCAGUGACGGAGCUCUGUGGCACUGAAUAUGUGAAACCAUGGCUCGACUGUGACAUGCUCGACGAAAUUUAGGGUGAUAAAUGAUUACUUUUACUCGACCAUCAUAAUAUUUGGCCACUAUAUCCAAAAGAACUAUGUGUCCAUGAUGCUUAAACACGGACGCCUUAUUCUGUCCAAUGCUAAUAGCUUUCCGAAUAUCGUAUAUCAAGUAAACGAUUUAUCACACAAUAGUUGACAUUUUUUUAUCAGUACAUACAUUUAUAUUUUCACCGGGGAAAGUCAUUUUGUUGGUUGCCUCGAUGAAACUUUUCGUCAUUGUCAAUAUCAUUGAUGGCCGAGACCGCCGUAUGUCGUGAAAAUCUCGACCUCCAUUUAGGAUAUGACCUUGGGUUUUAAAAACCGAUUAAAAUUCCGAAGCAUUCCAUUGGUUUAGUACAUAACACAGAUACUGUACUUAACGGCUGUAAAAUCGUCGAGAUUCGAGAUCAAAUUAGGAUUGAUUAAAAUAAUAAUUGUUAACACUUGGGUAUUUAGAAUAUUUAGAUACAAUAAUAGCAACAUUCUAGCUGUUUUCGUAGAAUUGCAUAUUGCUGGUUUCUAAACCAGAAAUGCUAACGUGAUAGAUAAACUAUUCGCGGUCACCGAAUCUUCGGGUGACUAUUAAAUCCGUACAAGGACGUUAACCCGUUAUAUCUAUGGGACGUCGAGAGUCGGUUACAUAUCUAAAAUAAUUUUCGUAUUAUCUAACCUUCACACACUACGAGCUAUCUCAUUCAUAUGCCGUUGCUACAUUUUAAAGACAGGCCAACAACCAACGUCUCGACGUUACAUUCUGGUAAUUUUGUGGCUUUAAUUUUUCUGGUUGUAGCUAAAAUAUACUCUAUCAAAAAUAACCAAUUUUUUUUUCGUGUAUAAUAUAUAUAAUAGACUAAUGGUCUAACCUAACCUGGCCUCAAGCCAAUUUUUUUGCAGUCUAACUAUAUAAACCGUCGUAUUUCAGUAGAUACAGGGCCGGUCGCGGUGCAAGCAAAUUUUUAUAUGUAGGCAAAAAUCAAAAUUGCCGCCUCUUGUUUUAUUAUUUUUUCUUAUAUGCCGCCUCUAUACAGGGUGAUUUUUUUAUCGUUGAACACUUUGCAUACAAAGUGUAUACAAAGUGUUCAACGAUAAAAAAAUCACCUAGUAUAUAAAUAUAAAUUUUUCCGUCGUAGGCUUGUGCCUACGUUGCCUACGCCUAUAACCGGCCCUGAGUAGAUACCUGCUUGUAAUGUAUACUCCUCACGUCCCCCACAGUGUAAACCUACGGGUAGGUAUAUUCACAUAUUAUAUAUAUUUUUUCAAUAUAUAAUAUUAUUUAUUCAUAUCCAAACACAGAUCCACUUAACCCUGUCAAUAUAAUCAUUUUAUUGAUCUUUUAUUGUUCAUAAAAUGUUAAUAAGAAGUGCAAGGUAACUCGUAAUUGGGAACCCUUCAACCAUAAUAACUACGUUCAAAAAAUAAAAACAAUGUAUUAUUUUAUCAACACAAAUCUCUUUAAUCAUUGUAUAGUUUCUUAUACAUUAAUAUUAUUUUUUGUAUACUAAUUUUAUAAGUAACCUUUGUUUGCCACGUCAAUAAAUUUAAUUUAUUAUACAUAUAAUAUAUUAUAUCCAUGUAUUUAUCAGAUACUACCAACAAAAAAUGUAAUUUUAUUAUUAUUUAAAUAUCAUAUUGUAUCAAUUGUAAUUUUAUACCUAAAAAAUUAUUAAAACCCUUCCAUUUUAAUGUUUUGAUAACAAUAUCUAUUAUUUAAUGAAAUAUUUAACAUACAUCAAAUCAGGCUGAAAUGUCGCAUAUUAUAUAUUUAUUAACUGUAAAUCGUUCAUAGAAAUCUUAUUAUUAUUUGUAUAUGUACCUGUUGGGCCAGAAAGGCUAUAUCAUUAUAUUAUAGGUACCUACCUAUGAUCUUACUACCUAA
Long non-coding RNA from Aphis gossypii (cotton aphid), 4524 nucleotides. RefSeq lists it as uncharacterized. Lineage: Eukaryota; Metazoa; Arthropoda; Insecta; Hemiptera; Aphididae. The transcript is spliced from 2 exons. The record is from RefSeq and is a predicted model, not a curated record.